RNAcentral lists this ribosomal RNA (497 nucleotides) under uncultured bacterium. Its description in RNAcentral is "partial 16S ribosomal RNA". It matches the Rfam family "Bacterial small subunit ribosomal RNA", at positions 28 to 507 of the family's 1533-position model. The record is from RNAcentral.
GACGAACGCUGGCGGCGUGCCUAAUACAUGCAAGUUGAGCGCUGAAGGUUGGUACUUGUACCAACUGGAUGAGCAGCGAACGGGUGAGUAACGCGUGGGGAAUCUGCCUUUGAGCGGGGGACAACAUUUGGAAACGAAUGCUAAUACCGCAUAAAAACUUUAAACACAAGUUUUAAGUUUGAAAGAUGCAAUUGCAUCACUCAAAGAUGAUCCCGCGUUGUAUUAGCUAGUUGGUGAGGUAAAGGCUCACCAAGGCGAUGAUACAUAGCCGACCUGAGAGGGUGAUCGGCCACAUUGGGACUGAGACACGGCCCAAACUCCUACGGGAGGCAGCAGUAGGGAAUCUUCGGCAAUGGACGAAAGACUGACCGAGCAACGCCGCGUGAGUGAAGAAGGUUUUCGGAUCGUAAAACUCUGUUGGUAGAGAAGAACGUUGGUGGGAGUGGAAAGCUCAUCAAGUGACGGUAACUACCCAGAAAGGGACGGCUAACUACGUG